This 450-nucleotide ribosomal RNA is filed under the name uncultured bacterium. Its description in RNAcentral is "partial 16S ribosomal RNA". It matches the Rfam family "Bacterial small subunit ribosomal RNA", at positions 354 to 796 of the family's 1533-position model. The record is from RNAcentral.
GUGGGGAAUCUUCCGCAAUGGACGAAAGUCUGACGGAGCAACGCCGCGUGAGUGAAGAAGGUUUUCGGAUCGUAAAGCUCUUUCGUUAGGGACGAACGUGCUCUUUGUGAAUAAUGAGGAGUAAUGACGGUACCUAAAUAAGAAGCCACGGCUAACUACGUGCCAGCAGCCGCGGUAAUACGUAGGUGGCAAGCGUUGUCCGGAAUUAUUGGGCGUAAAGCGCGCGCAGGCGGGAUAUCAAGUCUGUCUUAAAAGUGCGAGGCUCAACCUCGUGAGGGGACAGAAACUGGUAUUCUUGAGUGUCGGAGAGUAAAGUGGAAUUCCAAGUGUAGCGGUGAAAUGCGUAGAGAUUUGGAAGAACACCAGUGGCGAAGGCGACUUUCUGGACGAUGUCUGACGCUGAGGCGCGAAAGCUAGGGGAGCGAACGGGAUUAGAAACCCUUGUAGUCC